Molecule: long non-coding RNA, 1102 nt
Organism: Helianthus annuus (common sunflower)
Lineage: Eukaryota; Viridiplantae; Streptophyta; Magnoliopsida; Asterales; Asteraceae
Exons: 4
Source: RefSeq, a predicted model, not a curated record
AGUUUCUAGUCAACUUGUGCUACAUUUUUCAGUCUUGCCCUUUUCUGAGAAAUGUAACAUAAUCUACUAAUUUAAUGGCUAGCCGAAACUUGAUCUGAUUCUCUCUUACUAUCCAAUAGUCAAACUCAGCUUUUUAUAUUUUCCCAUUCAGAUUCAGUAUGUCUUUCUUAAAGCUUGAUGUUGCAGGUGAAAGGGGGCUAGAACUCCUCGUAGGGAGAUCUUACCCGCUGGUCAGAAAAUUGGGAUCCCUUCCACAUUGUUAUUGGAAUUGAUGGAGGAAGAAGUGGAAUUCUCUAGGAAUAAGUUUGCUGGGAGUCAAGCUGACCGGGCUGUGAAGGAAGAAGCUUACUGAAAAGCUGAAGAACACAAAAAUUAUAGGUGAUGGUUAUUUCUUUGCUUUAUGUACGUUUCGUUUUCUAUUUGUAUCGACUGACUUUGCAGAUAAAAGUGGGAAGAAAGAACGAGCAGCUAAAUCUGCAGGUGAAACCAAAACUAAAGGAGCUGCUGCUGUGGAAAAGGAAGUAACAAUCGACAGACUUGAUAUCCGUGUUGGGGUUAUCAAGGAAGUUCAGAAACAUCAUGAUGCUGAUUCUUUGUAUCUGGAAAAAAAUGAUGUCGGUGAAGAACCUAUAGGACUGUCGUUAGUGGUCUUCUCAAAUAUAUUCCUCUUGAAGAGAUGCAGAACCGCAAGGUUUGUGUUCUCUGCAACCUAAAGCCAGCAACCAUGAGGGGAAUUAAAUCACAAGCUAUGGUUCUUUGUGCUUCCACUAGUGAUAACGUUGAAUUUGUGGGUUUGACGGUGAGCCGGAUGAUGUUCUAAACCCUAAGAAGAAGACGCUGCAAGUGGAUCUACUACAUUCAGACAAGAAUCUUGUAGCCUGCUAUGAAGAUCUGCCAUUCACAACUUCUGCAGGUGUUUGCAAAGUUUUAUCAACAUCCGAUGGGUCAAUUCGAUGAACGCUUGUGGGACUAUGCUUUGCAUUUUUGCCAUCUGACGUUGUGUUUGUUUUAUUCAUCUUUGCUACAACACGAGUCUGGUGUAAUAGGUAGAUUGAUGUUGGAUUUAGAACUUAGUUUGACUUGAAAUUAGUGCGUGGUUCAA